Molecule: long non-coding RNA, 428 nt
Organism: Chinchilla lanigera (long-tailed chinchilla)
Lineage: Eukaryota; Metazoa; Chordata; Mammalia; Rodentia; Chinchillidae
Exons: 2
Source: RefSeq, a predicted model, not a curated record
GACUGCUGAGUUCGAGGGCAGCCUCGACUACAUAAAUUCAAGUGACCUGAGAAACCUUCAGGCCUACUCUUCCCUCAUCUGUGUCUGCACGGAAACAUCAACUGGCUUGCUGAGAAAAAGAAUAUUCAUAGGCCAAAGAGCCUAUCGUCCAUAUCAUCUUCUACCAUCCAUAGCAAGAGUCUUCUAGUUACUUCAAAGCAAGCCUCUCCUCUGGCAGCCUCUCACUUUUCCCAUGAAAAUCAACCUACCACGUGGGAAAUGUGAAAUUGUGGUCCAUAUUCAUAUCUCAGGUAAAGUGGAUCACUUCCCAUGGACUGACAAGGCAUAACCUAAAGCCAGACUGUAAAAAAAUGGACUCACUGUUCAUGAGGAACUCUGCAUGUUGGUGGGCAAAUUAAUACUACUCUGUAGAUGGAAUGCAAUUCUCA